RNAcentral lists this ribosomal RNA (551 nucleotides) under uncultured Paracoccaceae bacterium. Its description in RNAcentral is "bacterial SSU rRNA". It matches the Rfam family "Bacterial small subunit ribosomal RNA", at positions 347 to 916 of the family's 1533-position model. The record is from RNAcentral. Lineage: Bacteria; Pseudomonadati; Pseudomonadota; Alphaproteobacteria; Rhodobacterales; Paracoccaceae.
GGCAGCAGUGGGGAAUCUUAGACAAUGGGGGCAACCCUGAUCUAGCCAUGCCGCGUGAGUGAUGAAGGCCUUAGGGUCGUAAAGCUCUUUCGCCUGUGAUGAUAAUGACAGUAGCAGGUAAAGAAACCCCGGCUAACUCCGUGCCAGCAGCCGCGGUAAUACGGAGGGGGUUGGCGUUGUUCGGAAUUACUGGGCGUAAAGCGCGCGUAGGCGGAUUAGAAAGUUGGGGGUGAAAUCCCGGGGCUCAACCUCGGAACUGCCUCCAAAACUGCUAGUCUAGAGUUCGAGAGAGGUGAGUGGAAUUCCGAGUGUAGAGGUGAAAUUCGUAGAUAUUCGGAGGAACACCAGUGGCGAAGGCGGCUCACUGGCUCGAUACUGACGCUGAGGUGCGAAAGUGUGGGGAGCAAACAGGAUUAGAUACCCUGGUAGUCCACACCGUAAACGAUGAAUGCCAGUCGUCGGGUAGUAUACUAUUCGGUGACACACCUAACGGAUUAAGCAUUCCGCCUGGGGAGUACGGUCGCAAGAUUAAAACUCAAAGGAAUUGACGG